AUGCAAGUCGACGGAACGAUGGGAGCUUGCUCCCAGGCGUCGAGUGGCGGACGGGUGAGUAAUACUUAGGAAUCUGCCCAUUAGUGGGGGACAACUAGAAGAAAUUCUAGCUAAUACCGCAUACGCCCUACGGGGGAAAGCGGGGGAUCUUCGGACCUCGCGCUAAUGGAUGAGCCUAAGUCGGAUUAGCUUGUUGGUGAGGUAAUGGCUCACCAAGGCGACGAUCCGUAGCUGGUCUGAGAGGACGAUCAGCCACACUGGGACUGAGACACGGCCCAGACUCCUACGGGAGGCAGCAGUGGGGAAUAUUGGACAAUGGGCGCAAGCCUGAUCCAGCAAUGCCGCGUGUGUGAAGAAGGCCUGCGGGUUGUAAAGCACUUUCAGUAGAGAAGAAAAGCUUACGGUUAAUAACCGUGAGUCUUGACGUAACCUACAGAAGAAGCACCGGCUAACUCCGUG
This 459-nucleotide ribosomal RNA is filed under the name uncultured bacterium. Its description in RNAcentral is "bacterial SSU rRNA". It matches the Rfam family "Bacterial small subunit ribosomal RNA", at positions 55 to 507 of the family's 1533-position model. The record is from RNAcentral.